GACAGCAAUAUGAAGGCCAGGCUGAAGACUUUGCCGGAUUAGCUGAGAGGUGGUGCAUGGCCGUCGUCAGUUCGUACUGUGAAGCAUCCUGUUAAGUCAGGCAACGAGCGAGACCCACGCCCACAGUUGCCAGCGUACUCUCUGGAGUGACGGGUACACUGUGGGGACCGCCGCUGCUAAAGCGGAGGAAGGAAUGGGCAACGGUAGGUCAGUAUGCCCCGAAUAUCCCGGGCUACACGCGAGCUACAAUGGUUGGUACAGUGGGUAUCUACCCCGAAAGGGGACGGGAAUCUCCUAAAACCAAUCUUAGUUCGGAUUGAGGGCUGCAACUCGCCCUCAUGAAGCUGGAAUCCGUAGUAAUCGCGUUUCAACAGAACGCGGUGAAUACGUCCCUGCUCCUU
Molecule: ribosomal RNA, 401 nt
Filed under: uncultured Methanosaeta sp.
Lineage: Archaea; Methanobacteriati; Methanobacteriota; Methanomicrobia; Methanotrichales; Methanotrichaceae
Description: bacterial SSU rRNA
Rfam family: Archaeal small subunit ribosomal RNA
Source: RNAcentral